This 534-nucleotide long non-coding RNA is filed under the name Oryctolagus cuniculus (rabbit). Its description in RNAcentral is "lncRNA (ENSOCUG00000032135.1)". Lineage: Eukaryota; Metazoa; Chordata; Mammalia; Lagomorpha; Leporidae. The record is from RNAcentral.
UACAGAAACAUUGAUCUGGAGGUCUGCUGAAAGCAGCAGGUAAUUGGAUGAAAUUUAAAAAGCAAGAGGACCAGGAACAUGGAUGUGAAGUCAAGAGUUAUAGUAAUCAUCUUUUUACUGUGACAGGAAUUGGAAAAUUACAAAGAUGCAAACGUUGAUAAUAUUGAGCCACUGAAUCGAUGCCAGCAAAAACAAGAUCCAGACUUCUUGUAAUAAUGAUGCAUGAUAUCAGAGAAAAUCAAGAAGCACAAACUGAAUUUGCUUUAAUCACAAGAUGCUCGCCGGAUGGUGGUAGAAGUGACAAUUUCAGGAAUGUGCAAUUGGAAAGUAUUCUUUUUUUCUAACGAACUUGUGGUAAUCUGGGCUAAGCCACUAUCACAUUCUGCUGUGAACAGUAUACCUUGGGACUAAUGAUCUUCAAAACUAGACAUAAUCAAUUAACAAAGAGGUUGAUUAAAAUAUGUUUAUAUAAAUACUACCCUAAUAUUGCAUUAGUAAGAAAGAGCAAUUGAAACAUAAUUUUAUAGACACUGG